AAGUCGUAACAAGGUCUCCGUUGGUGAACCAGCGGAGGGAUCAUUACAGAGUUGCAAAACUCCCUAAACCAUCGUGAACGUUACCCCACAAUCGUUGCUUCGGCGGGCGGCGCCUCACCCGGCGCCCCCUGCCAGGGGCCCUAACGGGCGUCCGCCGGAGGCCUAUAACCCUUGUAUUAUUUUACGGCUUCUCUGAGUUUAUACUUAAAUAAGUCAAAACUUUCAACAACGGAUCUCUUGGUUCUG
Molecule: unclassified non-coding RNA, 246 nt
Filed under: fungal sp.
Lineage: Eukaryota; Fungi
Also listed under: 2 other names
Description: partial contains small subunit ribosomal RNA, internal transcribed spacer 1, and 5.8S ribosomal RNA
Rfam family: Eukaryotic small subunit ribosomal RNA (bases 1-46)
Source: RNAcentral